CGGUAGUCCACGCCCUAAACGAUGAAUGCUAAGUCUCCGGGGUAUCCACCCCCUGUGGGCUGUAGUUAACGCGUUAAGCAUUCCGCCUGGGGACUACGGCCGCAAGGCUAAAACUCAAAGGAAUUGACGGGACCCCGCACAAGCAGCGGAGCGUGUGGUUUAAUUCGAUGCUAAGCGAAGAACCUUACCUAGGCUUGACAUGUAAGUGGUACCGAUCCGAAAGGUGAGGGACCCGCAAGGGAGCUUACACAGGUGCUGCAUGGCUGUCGUCAGCUCGUGCCGUGAGGUGUUGGUUUAAGUACCGCAACGAGCGCAACCCUCGUCGUUAGUUGAAUUUUCUAGCGAGACUGCCCGAAAGGGAGGAAGGUGGGGAUGACGUCAAGUCAUCAUGGCUCUUACGUCUAGGGCUACACACACGCUACAAUGGCCGGCACAGACGGUUGCUAAACCGCGAGGUGGAGCCAAUCCGAAAAAACCGGCCCCAGUUGGGAAUUGCAGGGCUGAAACUCGCCUGCAUGAACGUGGAGUUGC
RNAcentral lists this ribosomal RNA (531 nucleotides) under uncultured prokaryote. Its description in RNAcentral is "bacterial SSU rRNA". It matches the Rfam family "Bacterial small subunit ribosomal RNA", at positions 788 to 1335 of the family's 1533-position model. The record is from RNAcentral.